AGGGUUCGAUCCUGGCUCAGGAUGAACGCUGGCGGCGUGCCUAACACAUGCAAGUCGAGCGAGAAGUCUGCAAAAGAAACUUCGGUGGACAUUGGAGAUGGAAAGCGGCGGACGGGUGAGUAACGCGUAGGCAACCUGCCCUUUGCAGAGGGAUAGCCUCGGGAAACCGGGAUUAAAACCACAUAAAGCCGGGAGACCGCAUGGGAUACCGGUCAAAGAUUUAUCGGCAGAGGAUGGGCCUGCGUCUGAUUAGUUAGUUGGUGAGGUAACGGCUCACCAAGGCAAUGAUCAGUAGCCGACCUGAGAGGGUGAACGGCCACAUUGGAACUGAGACACGGUCCAA
RNAcentral lists this ribosomal RNA (343 nucleotides) under uncultured bacterium. RNAcentral describes it as "bacterial SSU rRNA". It matches the Rfam family "Bacterial small subunit ribosomal RNA", at positions 8 to 334 of the family's 1533-position model. The record is from RNAcentral.